GGAAAGAAAGCACUAGUCAUCCCACACAAUGGAGGGGGAAAAAUAACAAGGAAAGAAACAAAUAUCGUCACAAUCUCCUACACAAAAGUGCAAUCAAUACAAGAAUGUAUUCAUUUCAUGAAGAUGACAAAUUAUAUUCUGAAGCAAUUCAAAUCGCAGGACAUUGAUGUACCUUGAUUGCAAUUUGUGCUUUGUUCUAUGUGACCUGGAAUAAAUGUAGGAGUAGGAAUAUCAGUCUCGCAGCAAUCCAGAAACAAAAAAGUUGCAAGCUUUAUGUUUUUGAUCUCAAAGCGAGNNNNNNNNNNCUUAAUUUCAAAGAUUAGCAUCCUCCACAUCUUCAGCACAAACAUUUCAGCUUCAUCAUCCAA
Molecule: unclassified non-coding RNA, 368 nt
Filed under: Hevea brasiliensis (rubber tree)
Lineage: Eukaryota; Viridiplantae; Streptophyta; Magnoliopsida; Malpighiales; Euphorbiaceae
Source: RNAcentral